RNAcentral lists this ribosomal RNA (1500 nucleotides) under metagenome. RNAcentral describes it as "bacterial SSU rRNA". It matches the Rfam family "Bacterial small subunit ribosomal RNA". The record is from RNAcentral.
AGAGUUUGAUCAUGGCUCAGAUUGAACGCUGGCGGCAGGCCUAACACAUGCAAGUCGAACGGUAACAGGAAGCAGCUUGCUGCUUCGCUGACGAGUGGCGGACGGGUGAGUAAUGUCUGGGAAGCUGCCUGAUGGAGGGGGAUAACUACUGGAAACGGUAGCUAAUACCGCAUAAUGUCGCAAGACCAAAGAGGGGGACCUUCGGGCCUCUUGCCAUCGGAUGUGCCCAGAUGGGAUUAGCUUGUUGGUGGGGUAACGGCUCACCAAGGCGACGAUCCCUAGCUGGUCUGAGAGGAUGACCAGCCACACUGGAACUGAGACACGGUCCAGACUCCUACGGGAGGCAGCAGUGGGGAAUAUUGCACAAUGGGCGCAAGCCUGAUGCAGCCAUGCCGCGUGUAUGAAGAAGGCCUUCGGGUUGUAAAGUACUUUCAGCGGGGAGGAAGGGAGUAAAGUUAAUACCUUUGCUCAUUGACGUUACCCGCAGAAGAAGCACCGGCUAACUCCGUGCCAGCAGCCGCGGUAAUACGGAGGGUGCAAGCGUUAAUCGGAAUUACUGGGCGUAAAGCGCACGCAGGCGGUUUGUUAAGUCAGAUGUGAAAUCCCCGGGCUCAACCUGGGAACUGCAUCUGAUACUGGCAAGCUUGAGUCUCGUAGAGGGGGGUAGAAUUCCAGGUGUAGCGGUGAAAUGCGUAGAGAUCUGGAGGAAUACCGGUGGCGAAGGCGGCCCCCUGGACGAAGACUGACGCUCAGGUGCGAAAGCGUGGGGAGCAAACAGGAUUAGAUACCCUGGUAGUCCACGCCGUAAACGAUGUCGACUUGGAGGUUGUGCCCUUGAGGCGUGGCUUCCGGAGCUAACGCGUUAAGUCGACCGCCUGGGGAGUACGGCCGCAAGGUUAAAACUCAAAUGAAUUGACGGGGGCCCGCACAAGCGGUGGAGCAUGUGGUUUAAUUCGAUGCAACGCGAAGAACCUUACCUGGUCUUGACAUCCACGGAAGUUUUCAGAGAUGAGAAUGUGCCUUCGGGAACCGUGAGACAGGUGCUGCAUGGCUGUCGUCAGCUCGUGUUGUGAAAUGUUGGGUUAAGUCCCGCAACGAGCGCAACCCUUAUCCUUUGUUGCCAGCGGUCCGGCCGGGAACUCAAAGGAGACUGCCAGUGAUAAACUGGAGGAAGGUGGGGAUGACGUCAAGUCAUCAUGGCCCUUACGACCAGGGCUACACACGUGCUACAAUGGCGCAUACAAAGAGAAGCGACCUCGCGAGAGCAAGCGGACCUCAUAAAGUGCGUCGUAGUCCGGAUUGGAGUCUGCAACUCGACUCCACGAAGUCGGGAUCGCUAGUAAUCGUGGAUCAGAAUGCCACGGUGAAUACGUUCCCGGGCCUUGUACACACCGCCCGUCACACCAUGGGAGUGGGUUGCAAAAGAAGUAGGUAGCUUAACCUUCGGGAGGGCGCUUACCACUUUGUGAUUCAUGACUGGGGUGAAGUCGGAACAAGGUA